This 21-nucleotide unclassified non-coding RNA is filed under the name Chlamydomonas reinhardtii. RNAcentral's name for it is "small RNA Cre_0208". The record is from RNAcentral. Lineage: Eukaryota; Viridiplantae; Chlorophyta; Chlorophyceae; Chlamydomonadales; Chlamydomonadaceae.
ACAGCGGGCGGGGGGCUGUGC